UCCAGACUCCUACGGGAGGCAGCAGUGGGGGAUAUUGCACAAUGGGGGGAACCCUGAUGCAGCGACGCCGCGUGGGUGAAGGAGCGUUUCGGCGCGUAAAGCCCUAUCGGCAGGGAAGAAGGAGGACGGUACCUGACUAAGAAGCCCCGGCUAACUACGUGCCAGCAGCCGCGGUAAUACGUAGGGGGCAAGCGUUAUCCGGGUUUACUGGGUGUAAAGGGGGCGCAGACGGCAGCGCAAGCCAGGAGUGAAAGCCCGGGGCCCAACCCCGGGACUGCUCUUGGAACUGCGCGGCUGGAGUGCAGGAGGGGCAGGCGGAAUUCCUGGUGUAGCGGUGAAAUGCGUAGAUAUCAGGAGGAACACCGGUGGCGAAGGCGGCCUGCUGGACCGUGACUGACGUUGAGGCUCGAGAGCGUGGGGAGCAAACAGGAUUAGAUACCCGCGUAC
Molecule: ribosomal RNA, 447 nt
Filed under: uncultured bacterium
Lineage: Bacteria
Description: bacterial SSU rRNA
Rfam family: Bacterial small subunit ribosomal RNA
Source: RNAcentral